Molecule: long non-coding RNA, 251 nt
Filed under: Mytilus galloprovincialis (Mediterranean mussel)
Lineage: Eukaryota; Metazoa; Mollusca; Bivalvia; Mytilida; Mytilidae
Source: RNAcentral
UUUAAAUUAGAAAGAUCAUAUCAUAGGGCACAUGUAUACUAAGUUUCAAGUUGAUUGGACUUCAACUUCAUCAAAAACUACCUUGACCAAAACUUUAACCUGAAAUUUGCACUAUCAUUUUCUAUGUUCAGUGAACCGUAAAAUUGGGGUCAAAACUCUAAUUUGGCAUUAAAAUUAGAAAGAUCAUAUCAUAGGGAACAUGUGUACCAAGUUUGAAGUCGAUUGGACUUCAACUUCAUCAAAAACUACCU